Molecule: long non-coding RNA, 767 nt
Organism: Paramacrobiotus metropolitanus
Lineage: Eukaryota; Metazoa; Tardigrada; Eutardigrada; Parachela; Macrobiotidae
Exons: 3
Source: RefSeq, a predicted model, not a curated record
GCUCGCAAAUCGCAGUGAUCGUUCACUAAUGCAUUAUGAUCUUUUAAGUAAGGAGGAAAAAAAUCAAGUGCCUCCGACCAGUGAAAGACAUUAAAAGUGUAAUGAUCCGAUCAUAGCCACACCGACACGCUAUAAUCGUGUGCGCAGGCACAACACUAGCGCUACUCAUUGAACGCCUCGGACGUGGAAAUCUCAAGUAGAUUGCAAUCAGCUUUGUUGAGUCUUCAAAUGUUAUAAAUGUCCUUAGCCGAAACUUGACGAAAAUUGACAAGAGCAGCAAACGAGUAUAGAUACAUAUCUCAGGAUCGACGUGGUACGCGGUUUAGUGCACGUGACCAAUCGAAGAAAGCAGCAGACUACAAGAGCGCCUGAAGCGAUUAAAAAAUUUCAGAGACUUUCAUCCGAAGCUGAUUACGUCUGCAAUUCGGCAGCGACCCAAUGUUUAUGACAACAAUAACUGCAUUAAUCCGUUCUAUAUUGCAUUACAUACGCAUCUGCAAAUUGUAGCAACAGAAUGUGCAUACAUGCUGCGGAUACACUAUAGAACUACAAGUACAGUCAUAACCAUGCGAGAAAGAAGACUUACAGUAUCUCACAAUUGCGAAGAUGCGCAUAAAUUAUCCCAUCACCGCAACAAAUCAUUCAAAAACGCCUAGGAGAAGAACUCAGCAAGGUCAAGAUCGAAAGCGAGAUCGACCAAGAUUUGUUUCCAUCAUCUAUGCUAAUGAUGCAAACUGCAAAAAUUAACGUUUCUCAUAGAAUUCGCA